RNAcentral lists this ribosomal RNA (166 nucleotides) under Pseudomonas aeruginosa. RNAcentral describes it as "partial 16S ribosomal RNA". It matches the Rfam family "Bacterial small subunit ribosomal RNA", at positions 1 to 157 of the family's 1533-position model. The record is from RNAcentral. Lineage: Bacteria; Pseudomonadati; Pseudomonadota; Gammaproteobacteria; Pseudomonadales; Pseudomonadaceae.
AGCAGUAUUGAGCUGAAGAGUUUGAUCAUGGCUCAGAUUGAACGCUGGCGGCAGGCCUAACACAUGCAAGUCGAGCGGAUGAAGGGAGCUUGCUCCUGGAUUCAGCGGCGGACGGGUGAGUAAUGCCUAGGAAUCUGCCUGGUAGUGGGGGAUAACGUCCGGAAAC